GGUUGAUCCUGCCAGUAGUCAUAUGCUUGUCUCAAAGAUUAAGCCAUGCAUGUCUAAGUAUAAACCACCUUUAUACGGCGAGACUGCGGAUGGCUCAUUAAAUCAGUUAUAGUUUAUUUGAUGGUCCCAUUUGUGGGUUCAGUUCGGCGUAAAAAACCGGGUUGGGCCCAUAAACCUACUUGGAUAACCGUAGUAAUCCUAGAGCUAAUACAUGCGUGAGGCCCCGGGCUGGGUCCGUGCGGGGGGGUGGGGGUUCGCCUCUGCUUCUUCGUGCGGAGCACCCCCAGCGAAGG
Molecule: ribosomal RNA, 293 nt
Filed under: uncultured eukaryote
Lineage: Eukaryota
Description: partial 18S ribosomal RNA
Rfam family: Eukaryotic small subunit ribosomal RNA
Source: RNAcentral